Molecule: ribosomal RNA, 432 nt
Filed under: uncultured bacterium
Lineage: Bacteria
Description: partial 16S ribosomal RNA
Rfam family: Bacterial small subunit ribosomal RNA
Source: RNAcentral
AACGAACGCUGGCGGCAUGCCUAACACAUGCAAGUCGAACGAGACCUUCGGGUCUAGUGGCGCACGGGUGCGUAACGCGUGGGAACCUGCCCUUAGGUUCGGAAUAACUCCCCGAAAGGGGUGCUAAUACCGGAUAAUGUCUUCGGACCAAAGAUUUAUCGCCUUUGGAUGGGCCCGCGUUGGAUUAGCUAGUUGGUAGGGUAAAAGCCUACCAAGGCGACGAUCCAUAGCUGGUCUGAGAGGAUGAUCAGCCACACUGGGACUGAGACACGGCCCAGACUCCUACGGGAGGCAGCAGUGGGGAAAAUUGGAAAAUGGGCGAAAGCCUGAUCCAGCAAUGCCGCGUGAGUGAUGAAGGCCUUAGGGUUGUAAAGCUCUUUUACCCGGGAUGAUAAUGACAGUACCGGGAGAAUAAGCUCCGGCUAACUCCGU